RNAcentral lists this ribosomal RNA (247 nucleotides) under uncultured bacterium. RNAcentral's name for it is "partial 16S ribosomal RNA". It matches the Rfam family "Bacterial small subunit ribosomal RNA", at positions 28 to 274 of the family's 1533-position model. The record is from RNAcentral.
GACGAACGCUGGCGGCGUGCUUAACACAUGCAAGUCGAGCGGUAAGGCCCUUUCGGGGGUACACGAGCGGCGAACGGGUGAGUAACACGUGGGUGACCUGCCCUCAGCUCUGGGAUAAGCCGUGGGAAACCGGGUACUAAUACUGGAUAUGACUCCAUGACGCAUGUUGUGGGGUGGAAAGCCUUGUGCGGCUGAGGAUGGGCCCGCGUACCAUUAGCUAGUUGGUGAGGUAACGGCNCACCAAGGC